GCGCUUCCGUGAUGAGGCCUGGAAUGAGCACCGCGUGGGUGCCUGAAUCCCGCUGUGGAACUAUUCCUGUUGCCUUCCUUCUGAGAAGAGC
Molecule: small nucleolar RNA, 91 nt
Organism: Oryctolagus cuniculus (rabbit)
Lineage: Eukaryota; Metazoa; Chordata; Mammalia; Lagomorpha; Leporidae
Gene: SNORD83B
Product: small nucleolar RNA, C/D box 83B
Source: Ensembl